GACGAACGCUGGCGGCGUGCUUAACACAUGCAAGUCGAACGGUAAGGCCCUUCGGGGUACACGAGUGGCGAACGGGUGAGUAACACGUGGGUGAUCUGCCCUGCACUUCGGGAUAAGCCUGGGAAACUGGGUCUAAUACCGGAUAGGACCACUGCCUGCAUGGGUGGUGGUGGAAAGCUUUUGCGGUGUGGGAUGGGCCCGCGGCCUUUCAGCUUGUUGGUGGGGUGAUGGCCUACCAAGGCGACGACGGGUAGCCGGCCUGAGAGGGUGACCGGCCACACUGGGACUGAGGUACGGCCCAGACUCCUACGGGAGGCAGCAGUGGGGAAUAUUGCUCAAUGGGCGCAAGCCUGAUGCAGCGACGCCGCGUGAGGGAUGACGGCCUUCGGGUUGUAAACCUCUUUCAGCACCGACGAAGCGCAAGUGACGGUAGGUGCAGAAGAAGGACCGGCCAACUACGUGCCAGCAGCCGCCGUAA
Molecule: ribosomal RNA, 478 nt
Filed under: uncultured bacterium
Lineage: Bacteria
Description: partial 16S ribosomal RNA
Rfam family: Bacterial small subunit ribosomal RNA
Source: RNAcentral